RNAcentral lists this small RNA (52 nucleotides) under Gillisella vitis. RNAcentral describes it as "Agrobacterium vitis ffh sRNA". It matches the Rfam family "ffh sRNA". The record is from RNAcentral. Lineage: Bacteria; Pseudomonadati; Pseudomonadota; Alphaproteobacteria; Hyphomicrobiales; Rhizobiaceae.
GAUCCCGGAGGUCAACAUCCGACAGCGCGAUGCGCCCUCGGGUGUCGUUUGG